GGGGAAACCUGAAGAGCACAGAUACAUAGAAAAUAAAAACUUGGGUUCUCAAAAGCAAGGGUUUAUCAGGAUUUCAGGGCUUUUUUGUUAUUUUCUGAAUAUCCUUGUCUUACGCAGGGCUAAAGUCCACCAUUACAGUUGGAAGAAUCCCGGUUCACAAGUGUGUAGCACGAGCAACAUCUUGACCCUCAAUACCAGCUUUCCGGGCUCUAAGAUUGGGGUUCGCAUAAGGGACACAGUUUUUGUCAAUGUCCACCAUGAAGCCAACCAUGCUGUUUCCAUCAAGUGGAAGGGCGUUAAGGAUUCAAUUGAUGGUUCGCAUGAUUUAAUUCAGUCAGAGAGAAACUUCACUUACAAGAUUGAAUUGAAUGAUUUAACCUCUUUCUACGUUAAUGUAAUAUAAGUUUAAAUUGUUCUUUGAUUGAUUAGAUUUUCACUUCACUUACGAGAUUGAAUUGAAUGAUUUAACCUCUUUCUACGUUAAUGUAAUC
Gossypium raimondii (Peruvian cotton) is the source of this 491-nucleotide long non-coding RNA. RefSeq lists it as uncharacterized. Lineage: Eukaryota; Viridiplantae; Streptophyta; Magnoliopsida; Malvales; Malvaceae. The transcript has 3 exons. The record is from RefSeq and is a predicted model, not a curated record.